RNAcentral lists this ribosomal RNA (254 nucleotides) under uncultured bacterium. RNAcentral's name for it is "partial 16S ribosomal RNA". It matches the Rfam family "Bacterial small subunit ribosomal RNA", at positions 524 to 776 of the family's 1533-position model. The record is from RNAcentral.
UACGUAGGGUGCAAGCGUUGUCCGGAAUUAUUGGGCGUAAAGAGCUCGUAGGCGGUUUGUCGCGUCUGCUGUGAAAAACUCGGGGCUUAACUCCGGGCCUGCAGUGGGUACGGGCAGACUAGAGUGCGGUAGGGGAGACUGGAAUUCCUGGUGUAGCGGUGAAAUGCGCAGAUAUCAGGAGGAACACCGGUGGCGAAGGCGGGUCUCUGGGCCGAAACUGACGCUGAGAGACGAAAGCUAGGGGAGCGAAUGGG